This 644-nucleotide ribosomal RNA is filed under the name uncultured bacterium. RNAcentral's name for it is "bacterial SSU rRNA". It matches the Rfam family "Bacterial small subunit ribosomal RNA", at positions 232 to 885 of the family's 1533-position model. The record is from RNAcentral.
CGCGGCCUAUCAGCUUGUUGGUGAGGUAAUGGCUCACCAAGGCGACGACGGGUAGCCGGCCUGAGAGGGUGACCGGCCACACUGGGACUGAGACACGGCCCAGACUCCUACGGGAGGCAGCAGUGGGGAAUAUUGCACAAUGGGCGAAAGCCUGAUGCAGCGACGCCGCGUGAGGGAUGACGGCCUUCGGGUUGUAAACCUCUUUCAGCAGGGAAGAAGCCACAAGUGACGGUACCUGCAGAAGAAGCGCCGGCUAACUACGUGCCAGCAGCCGCGGUAAUACGUAGGGCGCAAGCGUUGUCCGGAAUUAUUGGGCGUAAAGAGCUCGUAGGCGGUUUGUCGCGUCUGCUGUGAAAGCCCGGGGCUUAACCCCGGGUGUGCAGUGGGUACGGGCAGACUAGAGUGCAGUAGGGGAGACUGGAAUUCCUGGUGUAGCGGUGGAAUGCGCAGAUAUCAGGAGGAACACCGAUGGCGAAGGCAGGUCUCUGGGCUGUUACUGACGCUGAGGAGCGAAAGCAUGGGGAGCGAACAGGAUUAGAUACCCUGGUAGUCCAUGCCGUAAACGUUGGGCACUAGGUGUGAGGGACAUUCCACGUUUUCCGCGCCGUAGCUAACGCAUUAAGUGCCCCGCCUGGGGAGUACGG